RNAcentral lists this non-coding RNA (181 nucleotides) under Zhongshania marina. Its description in RNAcentral is "Zhongshania sp. DSW25-10 6S RNA". It matches the Rfam family "6S / SsrS RNA". Rfam says of the family: E. coli 6S RNA was the first non coding RNA to be sequenced, but its function was unknown until recently. It consists of 184 nucleotides that fold into an extended hairpin structure with a large single-stranded internal bulge. Lineage: Bacteria; Pseudomonadati; Pseudomonadota; Gammaproteobacteria; Cellvibrionales; Spongiibacteraceae. The record is from RNAcentral.
UACACCCUGGGAUAUUAGCUAGGCUGCUUAGACCCCUGAGCCGAUGCUUUUUACCCCGGAGGGCUCUAGCCGAGAUUGGUGUGCAUGUCCGCUUGUCGGAAAGCCUAAAAAUCUUGCGGAGAACUCCACCUUGAACCGCUGGGUUCAAGGGCCACGUAGCCGGCGGUAUCUUGGGGCCUAU